GUCCUGGCCGUAAACGGUGCGUAUUUGAGAUAAGCGGAUUCGACCCCUCUUGUCUCGGAGCUAACGCGUUAAAUACGCCGCCUGGGGGAGUACGGUCGCAAGAUUAAAACUCAAAGAAAUUGACGGGGGCCCGCACAAGCGGUGGAGCAUGUGGCUUAAUUCGAUGCAACGCGAAGAACCUUACCUGGCCUUGACAUGUACGUAGUAGAAGCCUGAAAGGGUGACGAGGUAGCAAUACCAGCGUACACAGGUGCUGCAUGGCUGUCGU
Molecule: ribosomal RNA, 268 nt
Filed under: uncultured bacterium
Lineage: Bacteria
Description: partial 16S ribosomal RNA
Rfam family: Bacterial small subunit ribosomal RNA
Source: RNAcentral